Triticum aestivum (bread wheat) is the source of this 2039-nucleotide long non-coding RNA. RefSeq lists it as uncharacterized. The transcript has 3 exons. Lineage: Eukaryota; Viridiplantae; Streptophyta; Magnoliopsida; Poales; Poaceae. The record is from RefSeq and is a predicted model, not a curated record.
UGUCCUCGGUUCCUCUUCCUGCCCAAGCACGCUUCCUCUCUCUCGUCUCGUCUCCCUUUCAUCCCAUUCCCCUCGCGCUCGUUGCUGCCUCUCCCCCGGCGGCGGCGGAUCUCGCGAUGGCGACCACGAUGCGUCUUCUUUUUACUGUCUAACAUUAUGGAUUGGGCAGGGCCACUCAGUGGAGGCCAGCUAGGGUGCGCGACGCCCAGCCCUGGCGCCAGUGCCUCCCCUUCUCGGCUUCUUUCCUCCUCUCCUUGCCCGCCGCCUCGUCCUCCCAACCAGCCAUCCCAGACCCCGUCGGCCGUUGCAGCCUCGUCCCUCCUUCCUGGAUGCCAUGGCCUCCUUUCCUCUGCCGUCGCUUCUUCCUUUCUGAUGGCAUCUCCUCAUCUCUUGCCCUCGCCACUUUACGCCAUGAAGGAGGUGGAGAGGGCAUCGGCCAUCGGAGGAGCCAGGAAGAGGAUGUUCCCAUGAAGAGGCGACAUGGAUUGAUGGCAGACCCUAGCGUGAAUCAGACAUGGGCAUGAUUGUUGACUGGUGGGGAUCGGACAUGGGCAUGACUGGUGGAGCUGAUAACGGCCACAUCAAGAAACGACCAUAGCUCCUGGAGCCAGUUGCCAUUAUUUUGCCUCACCGGACAAAAACUGAAAAUGAGCCAACAGUUGGAAGUGGCAUUCAUGUAGGAAAGCACCAGCUUCAUCGAUUAUAGGCAGAAGGUACAGGAUCAUGUGAUAAAUGAUAUGAUCACACCCACCAAUACACGUGAACAGCCGCCGCUCUUCACGGACGCUCCGGAACAAUGUCUCAGCGCGGCGUCAGUGGAGGAGAUGACCACGGUCAUGCCCUCAGCGGCUGGAAUAGAGGGGCGGAGCAGCCAGCUAAACAAAUAUGAUUUCAAAUGAUUUUUCCUACAAUCCAUGGCAAGCUAGAUAUGGACGUAUGGGUUCAUCUUGAGAUGAAAUAUUCCUACAAUCCAUGGCAAGCUAGAUAUGGACGUAUGGGUUCAUCUUGAGAUGAAAUAUUCAUUUAUGUAUGUUUUCUUUUGGCACAUUCAUUUUGUGUUAAUCUUAUCCCGCUUUCUUGUUUUUCAGGUAGUUUAGUGCUCAACAAGGAUUGUAUAAGGAUGGAAAACGCACAUUUAAGACAGUGUUCUUAUUUUGUAUUCUUCCUUAGCAAGCACUUCUUCUUAAUCCUUCUCUUUCUCUUUCUCCCCCUUGUCAUGAUAAUAUCUUUAGUCAUCUUUGCAAGAGCUGCUAACAAAAAGUUGAACAUCUUAGCAGGCUCGUAUACCCUAAGUGGAAUAUCUAUGCCGUUCUGAUUCUGAAUGAGGAUUUCUGAAUGUAUUAGUUAAUCACUUUCGAAUCCUUCAUAAACACCACACUGUAACCCUUGAAGUCAUGUUAAUGUUAAUUAUGCAUACUGGAUCUAAACUUUUGGCUUUAAACUUCAAGAGAUAUUUAUUGUUUAUACAUGCCCAUCUCAUUUGACGUGUACAGAGGCUAACCACUAUUUUUGUAAUUCUAAAUUGCAGGUCCAUACUCGUCCUCUGUUAAUGGGCAUUCCAUCAAAGUUAACAAUAUCGUGGUCAUCAUUGAGAAGCCGGACGGUAACACCAAAAUAUAAAGUGAAGAGGCACACUUAUCCAGAACAGGGUAGAUCAUCAGGCUCUCAUAACAAACAUCAAAUGGUAUGCCGCAAAUACAAUCGCCAAUCUUAGACAACUCAAUGACGAUAAGGAGAUUGGUUUGUAUGGACUCGCCGUUCCCCCUUGCAAUACACAAUUGCCAAUCUAAGUUGUUCGAAUAAGAACUACUUCUUAGUUUCCAUGUUUUGUUCUAUCGGUCCCUUUUUUAUUUUCAGAUCUGCAGAUUUUAAUUUUGGAUCGAAGGCUCAGAUUUGUUCAAGUUUUUUGCUUGCAGUAAAACUCUUAGUAGAGACAACUGGAUAUACGAAACAAAGUGAACUACCAGUUUUCUAUUGAACAAUCUCUACUCCGAUUUUAUUGUGACAUAUACCUAAAUUUAUUCUUAGAGAAAACUUGA